ACCCAUGAGAAAGACGGAGGCAACCCACGGCCGCAACGAUAUAUGCAUGCGUUUCAAGAGGCCAUUGAUGACUGCGAACUUAUGGACAUGGGGUUCGUAGGAGACCGAUUCACAUGGCAGCGAGGCCGGAUGAGGGAGAGACUGGACCGCGGGCUAGUUAAUGAUGCAUGGUCUGCUUUAUACCCGCAUGCAGCUCUAUAGAAUUUAAAUUAUAAUCAUUCGGAUCACAGACCUCUUUGUGUUGAUACAGAUUAUUAUUCUGAAGUUGGAGGCAGUGGUGCGGCCACUAAACGCUUCGAGGCGCGAUGGUUGAGAGAACAUACCUUCUCAGAUGUUGUACAGGAAGCGUGGGUUUCAGUGGGAUCCGACCCGGGCCUAAGUACUAUUCAUGAGAAACUGAAUCGUAUGCAUAAUGCCUUCCAUGACUGGGAUCAGAGAGUGCUCAAGAAGCCUAAGAAAAGGCUGCGGAAGGCACAGAAAGAGUUGGAGAAAAUUAUGACUGGACCUAUCAAUGAUGAAAGUGAAGAGAAAAGAAAAGAGUUGUCGGAACUGAUUUAG
Molecule: ribosomal RNA, 558 nt
Filed under: Triticum aestivum (bread wheat)
Lineage: Eukaryota; Viridiplantae; Streptophyta; Magnoliopsida; Poales; Poaceae
Description: partial small subunit ribosomal RNA
Source: RNAcentral